RNAcentral lists this ribosomal RNA (425 nucleotides) under uncultured cyanobacterium. RNAcentral describes it as "bacterial SSU rRNA". It matches the Rfam family "Bacterial small subunit ribosomal RNA", at positions 355 to 795 of the family's 1533-position model. Lineage: Bacteria; Bacillati; Cyanobacteriota. The record is from RNAcentral.
UGGGGAAUUUUCCGCAAUGGGCGAAAGCCUGACGGAGCAACGCCGCGUGAGGGAUGAAGGCCUCUGGGCUGUAAACCUCUUUUAUCAAGGAAGAAGAUCUGACGGUACUUGAUGAAUAAGCCACGGCUAAUUCCGUGCCAGCAGCCGCGGUAAUACGGGAGUGGCAAGCGUUAUCCGGAAUUAUUGGGCGUAAAGCGUCCGCAGGCGGCCUCGUAAGUCUGUCGUUAAAGCGUGGAGCUUAACUCCAUUUCGGCGAUGGAAACUGUGAGGCUUGAGUGUGGUAGGGGCAGAGGGAAUUCCCGGUGUAGCGGUGAAAUGCGUAGAUAUCGGGAAGAACACCAGUGGCGAAGGCGCUCUGCUGGGCCAUAACUGACGCUCAUGGACGAAAGCCAGGGGAGCGAAAGGGAUUAGAUACCCCUGUAGUC